Non-coding RNA from Mycena rebaudengoi, 92 nucleotides. The record is from the annotation of a GenBank genome assembly. Lineage: Eukaryota; Fungi; Basidiomycota; Agaricomycetes; Agaricales; Mycenaceae.
UAUCCAGUGGUGGAAUGGUAUCACACCUGCACAAUAUAUUGAAGUUGAAACACAUUAUACAGGAUAUUCCUGUUCGAUUCAGGGCUGGAUUA